RNAcentral lists this non-coding RNA (32 nucleotides) under Homo sapiens (human). The record is from RNAcentral. Lineage: Eukaryota; Metazoa; Chordata; Mammalia; Primates; Hominidae.
UCCCUACUGAAAGCUGCAGACGACCUGCCUGC